UUAAAUUGCUGUGGUAUUUUGACUAUACAAAGGUAUUGAAAUAAGAUUUUAAUUGAAUGCUAAGAGAAUGGAAGUCCAGAAAAAAACUUUUUUUAAAUUAAAAAUUGAAGUUUUUUUAAUUUGUGCAGAAACAAUUAUUUAUAUUAAAGACAAGAAGACCCUAUGAAUUUAUUAAAUUUUUAUUUAAUAUGUAAUUACUAUUAGAAAAAUUUUGGCUGGGGCGGCUAGAAAAUAUUAUGAACUUUUUAAAAAUAAAAUGAUCCAUUAUUAAUGAUUUUAUGUUAAAUACUCUAGGGAUAACAGCGU
Molecule: ribosomal RNA, 306 nt
Filed under: Rhipicephalus camicasi
Lineage: Eukaryota; Metazoa; Arthropoda; Arachnida; Ixodida; Ixodidae
Description: partial 16S ribosomal RNA
Source: RNAcentral